CGUGGGUAACCUGCCCAAGAGACUGGGAUAACACCUGGAAACAGAUGCUAAUACCGGAUAACAACACUAGACGCAUGUCUAGAGUUUAAAAGAUGGUUCUGCUAUCACUCUUGGAUGGACCUGCGGUGCAUUAGCUAGUUGGUAAGGCAACGGCUUACCAAGGCAAUGAUGCAUAGCCGAGUUGAGGGACUGAUCGGCCACAUUGGGACUGAGACACGGCCCAAACUCCUACGGGAGGCAGCAGGG
This 246-nucleotide ribosomal RNA is filed under the name uncultured bacterium. Its description in RNAcentral is "partial 16S ribosomal RNA". It matches the Rfam family "Bacterial small subunit ribosomal RNA", at positions 116 to 354 of the family's 1533-position model. The record is from RNAcentral.